UACGGAGGAUCCAAGCGUUAUCCGGAUUAACUGGGCGUAAAGAGUUGCGUAGGUGGUAAUUUAAGUGAAUAGUGAAAUCUGGUGGCUCAACCAUCAACACAUUAUUCAAACUGGGUUACUCGAGAACGAGAGAGGUGGCUGGAAUUCCCUGUGUAGGAGUGAAAUCCGUAGAUAUAGGGAGGAACACCGAUGGCGUAGGCAGGCCACUGGCUCGUUUCUGACACUGAGGCACGAAAGCGUGGGGAGCGAACGGG
RNAcentral lists this ribosomal RNA (254 nucleotides) under uncultured bacterium. Its description in RNAcentral is "partial 16S ribosomal RNA". It matches the Rfam family "Bacterial small subunit ribosomal RNA", at positions 524 to 776 of the family's 1533-position model. The record is from RNAcentral.